This 582-nucleotide ribosomal RNA is filed under the name Pseudopedinella elastica. RNAcentral's name for it is "partial Bacterial small subunit ribosomal RNA". It matches the Rfam family "Bacterial small subunit ribosomal RNA", at positions 1 to 578 of the family's 1533-position model. Lineage: Eukaryota; Dictyochophyceae; Pedinellales. The record is from RNAcentral.
UGAAGAGUUUGAUCAUGGCUCAGAUUGAACGCUGGCGGCAGGCUUAACACAUGCAAGUCGAGCGGUAACAGGGGGUGCUUGCACCCCGCUGACGAGCGGCGGACGGGUGAGUAAUGCAUAGGAAACUGCCCAGUAGUGGGGGAUAGCCCGGGGAAACCCGGAUUAAUACCGCGUACGCCCUUCGGGGGAAAGCAGGGGAUCUUCGGACCUUGCGCUAUUGGAUGUGCCUAUGUCGGAUUAGCUAGUUGGUGGGGUAAAGGCCUACCAAGGCGACGAUCCGUAGCUGGUCUGAGAGGAUGAUCAGCCACAUCGGGACUGAGACACGGCCCGAACUCCUACGGGAGGCAGCAGUGGGGAAUAUUGGACAAUGGGGGCAACCCUGAUCCAGCCAUGCCGCGUGUGUGAAGAAGGCUUUCGGGUUGUAAAGCACUUUCAGUGAGGAGGAAAACUCUGCGACUAAUACUCGUAGGGCUUGACGUUACUCACAGAAGAAGCACCGGCUAACUCCGUGCCAGCAGCCGCGGUAAUACGGAGGGUGCAAGCGUUAAUCGGAAUUACUGGGCGUAAAGCGCACGUAGGCGG